This 633-nucleotide ribosomal RNA is filed under the name uncultured bacterium. RNAcentral's name for it is "bacterial SSU rRNA". It matches the Rfam family "Bacterial small subunit ribosomal RNA", at positions 232 to 879 of the family's 1533-position model. The record is from RNAcentral.
CGCGGCCUAUCAGCUUGUUGGUGGGGUAACGGCCCACCAAGGCUUGGACGGGUAGCUGGUCUGAGAGGACGAUCAGCCACACUGGGACUGAGACACGGCCCAGACUCCUACGGGAGGCAGCAGUAAGGAAUAUUGCGCAAUGGGCGAAAGCCUGACGCAGCAACGCCGCGUGCGGGAAGAAGGCCCUCGGGUUGUAAACCGCUUUCAGAAGGAACGAAACUGACGGUACUUUCAGAAGAAGGUGCGGCCAACUACGUGCCAGCAGCCGCGGUGACACGUAGGCACCAAGCGUUGUCCGGAUUUAUUGGGCGUAAAGAGCUCGUAGGCGGUUCAGUAAGUCGGGUGUGAAAACUUUGGGCUUAACCCAAAGCGUGCAUCAGAUACUGCUGUGACUUGAGUACGGUAGGGGAGCGGGGAAUUCCUAGUGUAGCGGUGAAAUGCGCAGAUAUUAGGAGGAACACCGGUGGCGAAGGCGCCGCUCUGGGCCGAAACUGACGCUGAGGAGCGAAAGCAUGGGUAGCAAACAGGAUUAGAUACCCUGGUAGUCCAUGCCGUAAACGUUGGGCACUAGGUGUGGGUUCCAACCAACGGAAUCCGCGCCGUCGCUAACGCAUUAAGUGCCCCGCCUGGGGA